Molecule: long non-coding RNA, 357 nt
Organism: Ictalurus punctatus (channel catfish)
Lineage: Eukaryota; Metazoa; Chordata; Actinopteri; Siluriformes; Ictaluridae
Source: Ensembl
CCAGAAUCCGUACUGGGUGUGGAGUCAAGUAUUUGGGGCCAAGUGUGUUAAAACACCCUUAGUUAUCUGCAAUGCAAUAAUUCAUUUCGCAUUUGUGUCCUACUUUACAGGGUCUCCUGCUUUUGAGGACCUGACAUAGUCUAUCAGUAACGCAGGCACCUUCUGGUGUGAGACUUUCCAGGAAGAGAAAGAAGCAUCUGCUCAGUUUCACCAUCUCUAAGUGAGGAGAUCAGACACCCCCGAUUUUCCUGUCUGCUCUUACAUCCGCUUUAAGAUGGAUAACUACAAUCUCACCGAACUCGUCUUUAAUUGAGCCUGCAGUGUCUCCUGGUCUCCAUCAAACAUGCUGCAUUCACC